UACGUAGGGUGCAAGCGUUAAUCGGAAUUACUGGGCGUAAAGCGUGCGCAGGCGGUUGUGCAAGCCAGAUGUGAAAUCCCCGGGCUCAACCUGGGAAUUGCAUUUGUGACUGCACGGCUAGAGUGUGUCAGAGGGGGGUAGAAUUCCACGUGUAGCAGUGAAAUGCGUAGAUAUGUGGAGGAAUACCGAUGGCGAAGGCAGCCCCCUGGGAUAACACUGACGCUCAUGCACGAAAGCGUGGGGAGCAAACAGG
This 253-nucleotide ribosomal RNA is filed under the name uncultured bacterium. Its description in RNAcentral is "partial 16S ribosomal RNA". It matches the Rfam family "Bacterial small subunit ribosomal RNA", at positions 524 to 776 of the family's 1533-position model. The record is from RNAcentral.